AGUGAACGCUAGUGGCGUGCUUAACACAUGCAAGUCGAACGGACGAUAUUUGUGCUUGCACAAAUAAAGUUAGUGGCAAACGGGUGAGUAAUACAUGAGAAUUUUCCUUGCAGUACGGAAUAACUAUUGGAAACAGUAGCUAAUACCGUAUAUUGCCGAGAGGUGAAAGAUUUAUCGCUGCAAGAUAAGCCCAUGCAAGAUUAGCUUGUUGGUAAGGUAAUGGCUUACCAAGGCUACGAUCUUUAGCUGGUUUGAGAGGAUGAUCAGUCACACUGGAACUGAGACACGGUCCAGACUCCUACGGGAGGCAGCAGUGGGGAAUUUUCCGCAAUGGGCGAAAGCCUGACGGAGCAAUACCGCGUGAGGGAUGAAGGCUUACUGAGUUGUAAACCUCUUUUUUCAAGGAAGAAGUUCUGACGUUACUUGAAGAAUAAGCAUCGGCUAACUCCGUGCCAGCCGCCGCCGUAAUAC
Molecule: ribosomal RNA, 471 nt
Filed under: uncultured bacterium
Lineage: Bacteria
Description: bacterial SSU rRNA
Rfam family: Bacterial small subunit ribosomal RNA
Source: RNAcentral